GAGUUUGAUCUUGGCUCAGAUUGAACGCUGGCGGCAGGCCUAACACAUGCAAGUCGAGCGGAUGACGGGAGCUUGCUCCUUGAUUCAGCGGCGGACGGGUGAGUAAUGCCUAGGAAUCUGCCUGGUAGUGGGGGACAACGUUUCGAAAGGAACGCUAAUACCGCAUACGUCCUACGGGAGAAAGCAGGGGACCUUCGGGCCUUGCGCUAUCAGAUGAGCCUAGGUCGGAUUAGCUAGUUGGUGGGGUAAUGGCUCACCAAGGCGACGAUCCGUAACUGGUCUGAGAGGAUGAUCAGUCACACUGGAACUGAGACACGGUCCAGACUCCUACGGGAGGCAGCAGUGGGGAAUAUUGGACAAUGGGCGAAAGCCUGAUCCAGCCAUGCCGCGUGUGUGAAGAAGGUCUUCGGAUUGUAAAGCACUUUAAGUUGGGAGGAAGGGCAGUAAGUUAAUACCUUGCUGUUUUGACGUUACCGACAGAAUAAGCACCGGCUAACUCUGUGCCAGCAGCCG
Molecule: ribosomal RNA, 513 nt
Filed under: bacterium enrichment culture clone ALO1_GLFRUDD03F238W
Lineage: Bacteria
Also listed under: 6 other names
Description: bacterial SSU rRNA
Rfam family: Bacterial small subunit ribosomal RNA
Source: RNAcentral